RNAcentral lists this non-coding RNA (32 nucleotides) under Geobacter sulfurreducens KN400. Lineage: Bacteria; Pseudomonadati; Thermodesulfobacteriota; Desulfuromonadia; Geobacterales; Geobacteraceae. The record is from RNAcentral.
AGACGGUUAUGAACGCUCGUAAUCUGCUUCCC